CCACACGUUGAAUUUUUACAGCCGCACCUGACUGGUUGAAAGCUGUUCAGGCACUGAUGAUCCUUGGGAUUCUGGUUAUGGCAUUGAGUACACUUCUUGGGUGCUUGUUUUCAAAAUACAACUCGAAAAAAUAUUUGUAUUUAAGCACGAUUCUUACGGCUGCUCUUGGAGGUAUUGUAAUCAUUAUAGCGGUGGUAGUGUUUGGAGCUGAGGAGACAAAGUUGCGUUCCCAGUUAAGUGCUGGCUUCUACUUGGCAGUCGUUUCUGGUGUGCUGUCGUUGGUUGCUGCUAGUCUUCUGGCUGUUUCAUCAAGAUCUACCGGAGGAUAUAGCCUUAUAUAACAUCCACGGUCGUCUCUGAAACAUGUCUAUAUCACAAACUGACAAAUUGUGGAAUUUAUAACUUUUAUACGUUUGAUUACUUUAAAAAUCUUCUAUUUUGUCUUGAUUAGAAGUUAUAAUUGAAAAACAAAUAAGAUGCAUGCGUAUGUGUUUUUUUGAGAAAGCUAAAUUAGAUAUGAAAAAAAAAUAAAUUAACAAAUAUUAAUAAGAAAUUAAAAAUUUUAAAUCUUAAAUUGAGUCGUAGAACAACAUAUGUUUAAAUAGUAUAUAAAUGUUAAUUUGAAAGCUUUUGCACGACACAAAACUAUCCUGUUCUUUGAAAUUUAUACGUCUAAUGGUAAGGAUGUGAUGAAAAUCUCUGAUAACCUUUGUUUGAUUGUACUAAUACAAUGCGUAGUAACUAGAGAGUAACUGCGAGUCUUGAAAAUAAAUAGUAAAAUAGUGCAUGGAAAUUGAAAUAUAACAUGGUAUGUUUUGCUGCCUUUAUUGACUUUAAAAAGGCAUAUGAUUCGGUCAGUACGUGAAGCGAUGCAAUAUGAGACAGCCUCAUAUACCGCAAACAGUAACAACAGAGUGUUUCACCGUGACAACAGGCCUCGUAUUCUUUACUAUAAGAUAUGGGUAAUUAAGAAAAUGUAUUUUAGAAUUUUACAUAUCAUUAAAUUUGUACAUGUACUAUAUUGAUUCACACAUAUUUGUUCAGGUUUUGCAUAUGAACCGCAUUGACAUUUCCACUUCUCCACUUAUUUUCAGAGGUAGUUCAUAUAUGUAGGAACAUACGCACGCAGGCAGGCACGCACGCACGCAUGUACACACGCAAUUCAUACAAGUAGGCACAUACGAAUGCGCGGGCACACACACGCACGCACGCACACACAUUAGUUUUACUGUGAUUUAUCCAAAUGUUUUAUGUAAAUAAAGGACGAUAAUUAACAUUUUAUGGAAAUUGCAAUUCUUUAUUAAAAUGGCGAUUUACUUGUAUGAUAUGUGCGCUAUUUUAUGGUAUUAUAUGUGUAUAAAAUGUAAAUGGAUGAAGCUUUCAUUGAACAAACGAUUUAAAUCAAUCUGUGAAUGGUUUGUGUAAACGAAAAUCAGAUAAAAACCAUGUUCCACGGAAGUUGCAAGUGAAACUAUCACGAGCAUUGUCAGUCAAAUCGCAACUAUCAUAGCCAGUCAAAUUGCAACGAACGUAGCCUGUAACCCAAUGCGACAUAUGUAUACACAAAAAUACACAGACAAUGUCACGGAUACCUCGAUUGCAAGUUAGCUCGGCAUGCACUAUCAAACAUACCUCAGAUUCGUAUAAAGUGUAUUUUAAUGCAUCGCUAGCUAAAUAGGCUAAUUAUUAUUCAAGAAACAGAACAUACGGGUAUUCAUUUUUAUUAUACGAAAGUAUUAAAUUCCGUAGUCACAAAAAUGCAAAUCAAGAAAUGUAGUUGUAGUUCAUCUAAAUCCAAACAGUUUGUGAGUGUUUCUUCGGUGACUAGAUGCAAUGUUUUUUUUUAGUUUUUUUUUUUAAAUACAUAAACAAUCUGUUGAUUCUUCUUUGUUUAGAUUAAAGAUUUAUAUGCAUAAUGGUUCAUGAAUGCGUUUGAUAUCGUAAAGAUGUAUCUCCUGUACUCACGUGCAUUUCUCUAUACAUUGUAUAAACUUCAUUUAUUGCAAUAGGUUACAGCAUGAUGAUAUACCCCUAAAUAUCACAUAAGCCGUAAGCAAACACAUUUGAAAAUGUUAAUACCACUUAAAAUAGCACAUAAAUAAAAUAUAAAUGUUAGGUAUGUUUUGAUACUUAUCGCCUGGGUUGACAGUGUAUUGAUACACUCAAAUGCAAAUGAUAUAAACUUUUAAAGUUGAUAUUGGUUUGUUUCGGUGUAAGAUUGCAAUAUUAAUUUGUCAGAGACUGUAUUAUCACGAGUGGUGAGCCACGAGUAAAAAUGUAAGAUAUGGUGUUCACGAGUGAACGAUAUUCUUAUCUUGCAUGCAUGAAAACACCAUUUCUUUAUGUUUCGUGAUUUUGUCAUUUGGUUUAACCAAAUUUUACCCAGAUUUAAGUUCCGUCAAUAACUCUAAGAGAACAUAUAAUAAAUAUUUUUUUUAUUCACUACUACUAUAGAAACAUGCUGAAAAUUGACCAUAUAUAGAUUUAUGCAUACACACAUUCGAAGACCUAUUAUUUUGUAAUAUGAUAGAGUCAUACACAUUGAGUUGUUAUCAAUAAUCAGGGAUAAUCAGGGGCAUAACUUGCCAAGUCAACGAUAUUUUAGAAGGUUCGUGGUCACCUCCCCUAGCAAAAUUCUAUAGGUUAUAACACACUAAAUAGUUGUUGUUCUUUAUUCUAUAUAAAAUUGACCUAAUUCCAAUGACCGCAGCACACAUCAGGACCCAUUUUAAAUUUCUGUAAGCUAUAUUUUCUUGAAGAAUAUUGUCAGUACUAACUAAAAAUCAAAAGAAAAGUGGGGUCAUGUUUGAUGCAAGAAAAAUAAUUUCAGUCAAACACACAAACUGCAAAAUCAGCUAGAAAAUGAGACCCCAAAUUAUACUGGUGGUGUAUGAUCUACGUUUCCAUGAAACAUUUUGUAAUGUUGUUAUUUCAUUAUGAAAAUGCUACUUACACGUCAAGCAUAGAUCUGUCAUGUGAUUUUAGCAAAAAAAUUGCAAAGAAAAUAAGGAAAAUAGCUCUACAUAGCAAAAAAAAACUGAGGACUAUUUGUAUCCGCCAUUAUGCGACUACCAUUUUUUCUCGCGCCAUUUUUCUUUUAGUGUCUGUAUGCCUCUAUAAUUCUGUUUCACCACAACAGCAGAUUGGGGGCAUUUUGAUGCAUACGAGACAGUGGAGAAAAAUACAAUAAGUAAUUUCACAGUUUUUGUCAUGCAUGUAAGAAAGUAUUUUUCCAUACACAUGAUACAUGUGCUCAUGAUAUAAAUUUAAGACAUAAAUGGAACCGAAAACUUUACGUUCUAUAUUAUACAUACUAUAAUAACAUAAUAUAAAUAACAUAAUAUAAUAACAUAAUAUAACUAACAAGCCCGCCCGCUUAGCUCAGUCGGUAAGAGCGUUGGCCUACGGAUCACGGGGUCAUGAGUUCGAUCCUCGGGCGGGGCGUAUGUUUUCCGUGACUAUUUGAUAAACGAUAUUGUGUCUGCGAUCAUUAGUCCUCCACCUCUGAUUCAUGUGGGGAAGUUGGCAGUUACUUGCGGAGAACAGGUUUGUACUGGUACAGAAUCCAGGAACACUGGUUAGGUUAACUGCCCGCCGUUACAUGACUGAAAAACAAACAAACAAACAAAUAAUAUAACUAACAACGACAAGAAAUGUAUACCUACCUGUCGAAGUCCAAGCAGCACAAAAAUGAUCAAAAGAGCUUUGCACCCGUUGUUAUAAGGCCGACUGUUAGAUAUCAUUGAUGAACGGAUUACGCCCAUUUAUUAUCUAAGUUUUUAAUAUCUUUUUUGUUGGCGUUAUUGUAAAUGUUCUUUUACGAUACAGUUUAAAUUCCACGUAAAGUUAUCAGCCAGUUUUCGAGGAAUUACACAAAAUAAUGCAUAUCUUAUUAUCAUGUAUAUUUUAUUUUUUUGCGAAAAUGACUGAAAUAGUAAUAUAGCGAGUUAGCGGCUUCUUCGGAUUGGUAUAAUAUUCAUACUUUCAGUAAUUGAAGUGUAACGCAAAGCUCAUAAUAACAUAUGUUAUGGUUUUGUUAUGGUUUAAUAAUAGAUAUGCAGUCAUUUUACAUAAAGUCAAGCUUUCUGCACUUCCUUGAAUCAAAUGCAUUCAUUUAAACAUUACUGAUUUUGACGUCAAUGUGAUUGUGCCUAAUCAGUAUUGCCGACGUUGACACCCAGUCGGGCGCAGUUUGUAUUGAUGGUUGACCGCAAUUAAUUAGUUAUUGAUUCGUUCAAUAGCAAUAAAUAAUUUUAUCGGGAUUAUGUCAAAAGAUUUUACAUUUUUAUCAAAAGCUCAUUACUGGGCAAGGUUAAUAGUUAUAGACACCGAGCCUGACUGUGUUACAAAACCAUUAUAGUACCUGGUCGAUAUCUAUUUUCACUGUUCAUUUUAGUACAUAUAUAAGUUUACUACAGCGUGAACACAGAACACAGAAGUGGUAGGUAACAAACAUAACUGUGUAUGAGAUACUUGUAACAGCUACUGAAAACGGUGAAUUAUUAAUGUGAUUUUAACUUGUCAACUGAAGACGAAGACUGGUGGAAAGCGGUUCAGUCAUUGAUGAUAUUGGGAAAUGUGUUUUUGGCACUGAGUACGCUUCUCGGCUGUCUAUAUUACAAAAACAGCACACAAAGCUUCAUACAAGGCACGGUUUUCACGGCUUUACUUGGAGGUGUUGUGCUCAUCACAGCAGUAAUCGUGUUUGGAGUGGAGGAAAAGGAGCAUAAAUCAUCUUUCAGUGCGAGUUUUAUCUUGGCAAUCGUAUCUGGGGUGCUGGCGUUCAUUGCUGGAGGACUUGUGGGGAUUUCAAAGCGAGGUCAUCCAGGAUACAGCUCUAUCUAAUCCACAUCAGAAGGCGAUUAACUGAACAUUAUUUAUUUCUACGUAGUGUUCUCUUCCAGUCAUCGAUUCGCAUUUUUAAAGUGACCUUUCAUUAUAUUACUUUAAUGGAUGUAAUAUAUUCCAUACUGGACGAUGUGACAAAGCAACUUUAGUUCGAAUCGCCAUGUUAACCAAACGGUUAAGCCAUGAAUCGAUAAAAAUAUUCGCAUGACUUUACGGGGUAUUUCUAUAAAUGUUUUGUAAACCAGAUCGUGCCUGUCUGUAUUGCUGUCCGUAUUGAUUCCCCUCUGUUGACUGAGAAAAAUAAGCAUAAAAUGAUGUAUAUAACAUUUCCCAGUUCAGUAUUGGGUAUAUCUUGGCGAGUACCCGUAUGAAAACAUAUUGGAUGAGAUUUGUGUUACAAAACGCCUAAAUAUAUAGCGUAUUGCAUGGAAAAAUGUUAAAUAACCAAUUAGUAAUUACUUGGAUUCACAUGUUUUCUUUUAGUAACAGAAUAUGCUGUCGAGAUAUCUUCUUCAAUAUAUCAAUAGCUUUGUGUAAUGUCUUUACCAUUGUAUUUGCUUGUGCACGUGUAACAAUAAAAUGACUAUGUAUUAUA
Molecule: RNA transcript, 5443 nt
Organism: Mercenaria mercenaria
Lineage: Eukaryota; Metazoa; Mollusca; Bivalvia; Venerida; Veneridae
Exons: 4
Source: RefSeq, a predicted model, not a curated record